RNAcentral lists this ribosomal RNA (421 nucleotides) under uncultured bacterium. RNAcentral's name for it is "partial 16S ribosomal RNA". It matches the Rfam family "Bacterial small subunit ribosomal RNA", at positions 360 to 773 of the family's 1533-position model. The record is from RNAcentral.
AAUAUUGGACAGUGGGCGAAAGCCUGAUCCAGCCAUGCCGCGUGUGUGAAGAAGGUCUACGGAUUGUAAAGCACUUUAAGUUGGGAGGAAGGGCAGUAAGUUAAUACCUUGCUGUUUUGACGUUACCGACAGAAUAAGCACCGGCUAACUUCUUUCCAGCAGCCUCGGUAAUACGGAGGGUGCAAUCGUUAAUCGGAAUUACUGGGCGUAAAGCGCGCGUAGGUGGUUUGUCAAGUUGGAAGUGAAAGCCCCGGGCUCAACCUGGGAACUGCUUUCAAAACUGGCAAGCUAGAGUAUGGCAGAGGGUGGUGGAAUUUCCUGUGUAGCGGUGAAAUGCGUAGAUAUAGGAAGGAACACCAGUGGCGAAGGCGACCACCUGGACUGAUACUGACACUGAGGUGCGAAAGCGUGGGGAGCAAAC